Molecule: long non-coding RNA, 379 nt
Organism: Oreochromis aureus
Lineage: Eukaryota; Metazoa; Chordata; Actinopteri; Cichliformes; Cichlidae
Source: Ensembl
GGAAGGAGAGCCAAGCACGAAAUACGGUACCGCAGAAAACAAUUUUUGGGCGAAAGAUAAGGAGGAGAGAAUAAAUGUCCUGGGCAGACCAGAAGAAUAGGAAGAAUGAAAAGAUCUCAAAAUGUUGAGAAUUUCUUCCUUAAGAAGGCUAAAAUACAACCAGAAGCAGAGAGCAAUGUCAGGGAAAGGUGGACUGAGCAGCAGUCAUCAUUGUCACCUGUGAGUUCUACAAAUGAAGGUAUGUAUGAGAAUGAAUAAGGAAAAUGCAAAGAAGGGAUGUUUAUAUUGUCAAUUGUUCAACUGAUCCAUAGGGGACAAAUCUUAAUAUUUGGGAAUAAAUAAUUAACUAAGCAAAUAUAUGUAUUGUGGUACAUAAUUG